UACGUAGGGGGCAAGCGUUGUCCGGAAUCAUUGGGCGUAAAGCGCGUGUAGGCGGCCUUGUAAGUCCGUUCUGAAAGCCCGGGGCUCAACCCCGGGAGGCGGAUGGAUACUGCAAGGCUCGAGUACGGAAGAGGCGAGUGGAAUUCCCGGUGUAGCGGUGAAGUGCGCAGAUAUCGGGAGGAACACCAAUGGCGAAGGCAGCUCGCUGGGACGUUACUGACGCUGAGACGCGAAAGCGUGGGGAGCGAACAGG
This 253-nucleotide ribosomal RNA is filed under the name uncultured bacterium. RNAcentral's name for it is "partial 16S ribosomal RNA". It matches the Rfam family "Bacterial small subunit ribosomal RNA", at positions 524 to 776 of the family's 1533-position model. The record is from RNAcentral.